This is a long non-coding RNA of Felis catus (domestic cat), 895 nucleotides long. RefSeq lists it as uncharacterized. The transcript is spliced from 2 exons. The record is from RefSeq and is a predicted model, not a curated record. NCBI's taxonomy places the organism in Eukaryota, Metazoa, Chordata, Mammalia, Carnivora, Felidae.
CCCACAGCACUCCUCACUGUGAGCCCUGAGUUGAUAGAGCCAACAGGAAGGGUGAUUAUUUUCUUUACUGGGACGACAGGGAAAGGCUUCCCAGAGAAGGUGACAUUUGAGCUGGCCUCUAAACAAUGAAUGGGAUUUAGCUCCCUUGUGAGGCAGGGAGGGGGGAGAAGGCAGGGCAUGUGACACAGAAGGGAUAGAGCAUGGCAAAGGCAUGGAGGUGUGACAAUGCUUGGCUUGUUUGGGGGUGUCAGGUGACUCAAGGUCGCUGGUGAACAGAAGGAGUGGUAGGGCAGAGGGUGGGGCUUGCAUGCCAGGCUAAAGAGUUUGGGCCUUUUGGGGUUCCUGCAGAGCUGCGCAGUCCCUAGGCAUACUGCCGGAAGUGUGGUCAUGCAAAGAGGGGGUGGGGUAGCCCACAGCGGAGGAAGGAUAGGGGGUGGCCUGUCAGGCCCAAAGGAAACCAGGUAGGUUUCCUGCUCUGGAGCAUGAGCUCAGACCUUGCCAGGCCUGGUGGUCCUGCUGUGCUCCACAGGCCCAGCCUGAAUCAGGGCUCUAGGGCUUGGCUCUCCUCUCCUCUACUCUCUGAGCACCUUCUCUGUGCCAGCACGGCUGCAUGGGGUAUUCCCUUUAUUCCACACACUUUCAAGGUUCCACUUCCCGCCUCUUACCUGAACUGCAAUUACCUGACAUCACCAUGCUGUGAGAAGCCCAAACCAUGUGGGGGAGCCCCGGAGGGCAUGACAUCACUUGGAGAGAGAGGUCAAGAAGUACUGAGACCUUGUCCUGUGAGUGAUGAAGCCAGCCUGGCACAGAAGCAAAGAUAAACCAUCUCGCUGAGCCCUUCUUGAAUUCCUCACCUACAAAAUUAUGAAUAAAAUAAAAUGGUGGUAAGCAUUGA